This 254-nucleotide ribosomal RNA is filed under the name uncultured bacterium. Its description in RNAcentral is "partial 16S ribosomal RNA". It matches the Rfam family "Bacterial small subunit ribosomal RNA", at positions 524 to 776 of the family's 1533-position model. The record is from RNAcentral. RNAcentral also lists the same sequence under 1 other name.
UACGGAGGGUGCGAGCGUUGUCCGGAAUCAUUGGGCGUAAAGGGCGCGUAGGUGGCCCGGUCAGUUCGUGGUGAAAGCGCGGGGCUCAACCCUGCGUCGGCCAUGAAUACUGCCGCGGCUGGAGCACUGUAGAGGCAGGCGGAAUUCCGGGUGUAGCGGUGGAAUGCGUAGAGAUCCGGAAGAACACCGGUGGCGAAGGCGGCCUGCUGGGCAGUAGCUGACACUGAGGCGCGACAGCGUGGGGAGCAAACAGG